UACGUAGGGGGCAAGCGUUAUCCGGAUUUACUGGGUGUAAAGGGAGCGUAGACGGAGUGGCAAGUCUGAUGUGAAAGGCGGGGGCUCAACCCCUGGACUGCAUUGGAAACUGUCAGUCUUGAGUGCCGGAGAGGUAAGCGGAAUUCCUAGUGUAGCGGUGAAAUGCGUAGAUAUUAGGAGGAACACCAGUGGCGAAGGCGGCUUACUGGACGGUAACUGACGUUGAGGCUCGAAAGCGUGGGGAGCAAACAGG
RNAcentral lists this ribosomal RNA (253 nucleotides) under Blautia obeum. Its description in RNAcentral is "partial 16S ribosomal RNA". It matches the Rfam family "Bacterial small subunit ribosomal RNA", at positions 524 to 776 of the family's 1533-position model. Lineage: Bacteria; Bacillati; Bacillota; Clostridia; Lachnospirales; Lachnospiraceae. The record is from RNAcentral.